Molecule: ribosomal RNA, 808 nt
Filed under: uncultured bacterium
Lineage: Bacteria
Description: bacterial SSU rRNA
Rfam family: Bacterial small subunit ribosomal RNA
Source: RNAcentral
GCUUACCAUGCAGUCGAACGAGAAAGCUCCUUCGGGAGUGAGUAAAGUGGCAGACGGGUGAGUAACACGUAGGUAACCUGCCUUUAAGAGGGGGACAACAUGCCGAAAGGCGUGCUAAUACCCCGUAAUGCCAUCCCUCGCAAGGGGUGAUGGUCAAAGAUGCCCAAUCCUUGGAAGGUGUCGCUUAAAGAGGGGCCUGCGCACCAUUAGCUAGUUGGCGGGGUAACGGCCCACCAAGGCUCAGAUGGUUAGCUGGUUUGAGAGAACGACCAGCCACACUGGAACUGAGAAACGGUCCAGACUCCUACGGGAGGCAGCAGUGGGGAAUCUUGGGCAAUGGGCGAAAGCCUGACCCAGCGACGCCGCAUGGGUGAUGAAGGUCUUCGGAUCGUAAAGCCCUGUCGGAGGGGACGAUGGUAACAAGCAUCAGAUCCUUGUUAUUGACGGUACCCUCAAAGGAAGCACCGGCUAACUCUGUGCCAGCAGCCGCGGUAAUACAGAGGGUGCAAGCGUUGUUCGAAAUUAUUGGGCGUAAAGCGCGUCUAGGCGGUUUAUUAAGUCAUUGGUGAAAUCCCUGAGCUUAACUCAGGAAAGUCCAGCGAUACUGGUAGACUAGAGUACGAGAGGGGAGAGCGGAAUUCCCAGUGUAGAGGUGAAAUUCGUAGAUAUUGGGAGGAACACCUGUGGCGAAAGCGGCUCUCUGGUUCGAUACUGACGCUAAAGCGCGAAAGCGUGGGGAGCAAACAGGAUUAGAUACCCUGGUAGUCCACGCUGUAAACGAUGGUCACUAGAUGUGGGAGGAUAUUGA